This 263-nucleotide long non-coding RNA is filed under the name Glycine max (soybean). RNAcentral's name for it is "long non-coding RNA (GMAX_LNC004212)". Lineage: Eukaryota; Viridiplantae; Streptophyta; Magnoliopsida; Fabales; Fabaceae. The record is from RNAcentral.
GCAUAUACCAAGAGCUAGCUCAAUUAAAAAAGAGAAAGUGGUACAAACAAGACCAUACUGCACGUGGUUAACAUAAAUUUGCAGCGAAAAGGGGUUUGCAGAGAGACUUAUCUGUUUGUUUGUUUGAAAGUUCAGCACUCAAGUGAUGAUUUUCUCCCUCUUUUUGACCCUCUUCCAACGGUUACUUGCUAUGAUGAAUUUGUCCCCUUUUUACCUGCUUCAAAUUCAACUCUUGCUUGGUCAAUAUAAUCAUUCAAAUACUC